This 1590-nucleotide long non-coding RNA is filed under the name Malus domestica (apple). Its description in RNAcentral is "long non-coding RNA (MDOM_LNC014639)". Lineage: Eukaryota; Viridiplantae; Streptophyta; Magnoliopsida; Rosales; Rosaceae. The record is from RNAcentral.
UUAAAUUAUUUCUUCAAUGAUUGUAAAAAUGAGUCUAAAUCAUUAAACAUCACAUCAUGUAAUUUACAAAAUAUGAUUCAAGUUACUAGUAUCACCGUAAAAAUUUCUAGCUAGAUGUGCUCCCUUUUGUUUGCUGAAAAGUAAAAGGAAGCAUACUUUUUAAACCAGAUGAAGAUCGUGACCGUCAUGUCUAACAGCAACAACACUAUUAAUGAUACGAUCCCUAUUUGGCCACUUGACUUUCUCCGUUUUCAUAACUUAACUUUCUUAACUUAACUUUAGAUUUCGUCUUUUUCCUCUGGUUCAAUCCACACUACAUUUUCUUGGUUUUUUUUUUUCCGAGUUAAAAUUAUAGAACACAAUCGAAUGAAAUCCUCAUCUCCAUUACUUAAUUUUCUCGGUUAUAUAGUAUAAUUUAACCUAGCUACGUACCUAAUUAAUAAAGGACUGUCAGAUAACAUAUGUUGAAUUAUGGUACGUCGUAAGUACUUCUGUUUUGAUCUUUAUUUUGCUUUUGUGUUGGAACUUGAAAGUGUUUGGAAUUUUUGAAUUCAUGGUGAAUGUGUCUUUUCAACAAAUAAUUAAGAUGCACGAUCGCGUCUUUCCCAUAUUCACUACCGUUGUAAAAUUUAAAGAUCUUUAAAAUCACACAAAGAUGUUCUUAGAAUAAUUAAAAACGCUUAUAUAUGUACAUAAAUUGAUUUUGACUAAAGAAGAUAUUUAAUGAAAUUAUUUGUAUAGAACAUCUCUCACAUCAAAUAAAACUAACAUGAAAUCAUACGAGACUACUGAAAUGAAAUGGUAGAAUGAUGGGAUAUGGGGGGACCACGCUCAACUUUUUAUUCUUUUUAUUGAGCGUAACAUAUCAAAAUGUUGAAAAAAAAAUGUAACUAAGCUUAUAUGUAGUGUAUGUAUUGGUUGGUGCUACACCUAUUUAAAAUUUCAAACACAUGUACACUAGGGUGCGUUUGGUACGUGGGACGGGACGGGACGGAACGGGACGAGGCUUUCCGUCCCGCGUUUGGUGCGCCAAAAAUGGGUGGAACGGGCUGUUCCACGGGACAGAUUUUGGGUGUUUUUGCGUCCCACCUCCACCCCCUGGAACGGGUUUGUUUCACGUCUGUGGAACACAAUGUUUUACCAUUUUAAGACAAAUAUACCCCAUGCCUUUUUCAAAAAUUACACCUUCGUUCCGUCCCGUCCCGUCCCGUUCCGUCCCGUCCCGUCCCGUUCCGUCCCGUCUGCGUACCAAACGCACCCUAAGGUACCGUUUGGUACGCAGACGGGAUGGAACGGGACGGGACGGAACAGGACGGAACAAAUGACGUAAAUAUUGAAAAAGAUAAGGAGAAAUUUUGUCAUAAAAUGUUAUAAAUUUGUGUUCCACGGAUGUGGAACAAGUCGUUCCAGGAGGAAGAGGUGGAACAAAAAAUCAGCCAAAUUUCGUCUCAUGGGACAACCCGUUCCACAGUUUUUAGGCGCACCAAACGUGGGACGGAACGACUCGUCCCAUUCCGUCCCGUCCCGUCCCACGUACCAAACGGUACCUAAGUCCACUUCUCUGUCCCUGACGACAUAUACUUUUAUACU